This is a long non-coding RNA of Octopus bimaculoides (California two-spot octopus), 709 nucleotides long. The record is from RefSeq and is a predicted model, not a curated record. NCBI's taxonomy places the organism in Eukaryota, Metazoa, Mollusca, Cephalopoda, Octopoda, Octopodidae.
GUGUGCUCCUGCUAAGGUAGUGGCUAAAAAGCAUUCACUGAAUGGGUUUUAUGUCCAUCUGUGUGUGUGUGUAUUGUGCUCAGGCAUAUUGAAACGACAUUCAACACAAUGCACACAUGCACACACAUACACUCACACACAGCUGGGCAUAAAACCCAUUCAAUAAAUGCUUUUAAGCCACUCCUUUGGCAGGAAUACACAGGAAUUUCUUUUAGACAAUAGACAACUUCACUCUCUAACACUUUGAACUCUAUACCAAACUAUAUUUAAAGAAGACUUCAACGAAAACUCUCCAGAUAUGUUCUUGAUCUCCAGACAGAAGAUAAACUGUUUUUACUUGAAACUUUUAUAAAUUUUUACUGAUAUUUGAUCAAAUGAGAUUCAUCAUCGAAACCGCAAUACCUGGAAAAAUCAUGGAUUACAUGGAAAAAUGCGAACAGGAAAAGUAAAAGUACAGGACAAGUUAUUACACCAGUAAAAGGAUGAAUCAUGUAAGAGAGGAUUAGUCUUGAAUUCUUGAGAACAUGCCCACUCGAUCCAUUUUCAGUAGAUAAAAGAUAUGUAUUCGACAACAUGUUUUUUUUUCAAUUGGUUAAUUGGCAAACACAGAGACUAUGUGCCUCCGGCUGACAGAUCUGCUGCGUAGCCCAUACUGCUGAGAGUGGUAAUAGACGUGAAACCAAUGGUAAAUUUCUGACCAACCAUAAAU